This is an RNA transcript of Fragaria vesca subsp. vesca, 716 nucleotides long. RefSeq lists it as uncharacterized. The transcript is spliced from 2 exons. Lineage: Eukaryota; Viridiplantae; Streptophyta; Magnoliopsida; Rosales; Rosaceae. The record is from RefSeq and is a predicted model, not a curated record.
UUUCUUUUCCCUUUUCUCUCUUCAGCUCUCUCUAUCUGGUUUCCGAUGUGGGAAGCUCAGGAGCUUUCACAUAACAUGAACAAGCCUAUGAAAGCAGCCCGACACAGAUUUCUACCAGGUGGUGGCUACUCAUCUUCUGUCUCAUCAAGCUUGAAGCAUGAAGGGUUUGAAUUUGGUGGUGUUGAUGUUGAUCUGUGCGUGAUGGGUUCGACUUGAUGUGAAUUGGGUGCUAUCCUACCUGAGCUUUUUCUUUUCUUUCAUCGUUAUUCCUUCAUCCAACCAUUUUCUUCUUGACCUUGUAAGACCUUUUCUUGACCUUGUAAGAUCUCACGCCGCGUCUGUUGUCUUUCUCUUCGCAUUUCUAACACACCCUGCACCGGAAUUCUCCGAUGUAGAGUUUGGCCUCCGCUUCUCCCCGCUCCCGCCAUACCCUUCUUCUCCUUCCUUGUCUAUCCCUCCUGAGCUGUUCGGAAACUAUAUAUGUAUAUGAUUCUGUGAUUUCUGUCACACCCCGAAACCGAGACAUGUAUGAAUUAUUCAAAGGUGUGAUAUAGCUAGGCACCAAUGCUAGCCUGUAAAAUAUGGGAAGGACUGAGAUAAUGAAAAUGCUAAUUAAUUGUAAAUGUGGUCCUCCCAGAGUAGCUAGAGAGCUGUGGAAAAAAGGUGUAGUACUAGCAGAAUAUCAAUGUCAUAUUAUAUCAUUCUAUCUUGUUGUU